This 74-nucleotide transfer RNA is filed under the name Enterocloster aldenensis. RNAcentral describes it as "[Clostridium] aldenense tRNA-Ile". It matches the Rfam family "tRNA". Rfam says of the family: Transfer RNA (tRNA) molecules are approximately 80 nucleotides in length. Their secondary structure includes four short double-helical elements and three loops (D, anti-codon, and T loops). Further hydrogen bonds mediate the characteristic L-shaped molecular structure. tRNAs have two regions of fundamental functional importance: the anti-codon, which is responsible for specific mRNA codon recognition, and the 3' end, to which the tRNAs corresponding amino acid is attached (by aminoacyl-tRNA synthetases). tRNAs cope with the degeneracy of the genetic code in two manners: having more than one tRNA (with a specific anti-codon) for a particular amino acid; and 'wobble' base-pairing, i.e. permitting non-standard base-pairing at the 3rd anti-codon position. Lineage: Bacteria; Bacillati; Bacillota; Clostridia; Lachnospirales; Lachnospiraceae. The record is from RNAcentral.
AGUGGAUUAGCUCAGUUGGUUAGAGCGUUGGUCUGAUAAGCCAAAGGCCACCGGUUCAAGUCUGGUAUCCACUA